CUUUUACAAUGAAGAGUUUGAUCCUGGCUCAGGAUGAACGCUAGCUACAGGCUUAACACAUGCAAGUCGAGGGGCAGCAUUUUAGUUUGCUUGCAAACUGAAGAUGGCGACCGGCGCACGGGUGAGUAACACGUAUCCAACCUGCCGAUAACUCCGGAAUAGCCUUUCGAAAGAAAGAUUAAUACCGGAUAGCAUACGAAUAUCGCAUGAUAUUUUUAUUAAAGAAUUUCGGUUAUCGAUGGGGAUGCGUUCCAUUAGUUUGUUGGCGGGGUAACGGCCCACCAAGACUACGAUGGAUAGGGGUUCUGAGAGGAAGGUCCCCCACAUUGGAACUGAGACACGGUCCAAACUCCUACGGGAGGCAGCAGUGAGGAAUAUUGGUCAAUGGGCGAGAGCCUGAACCAGCCAAGUAGCGUGAAGGAUGAAGGCUCUAUGGGUCGUAAACUUCUUUUAUAUGGGAAUAAAGUUUUCCACGUGUGGAAUUUUGUAUGUACCAUAUGAAUAAGGAUCGGCUAACUCCGUGCCAGCAGCCGCGGUAAUACGGAGGAUCCGAGCGUUAUCCGGAUUUAUUGGGUUUAAAGGGAGCGUAGGUGGAUUGUUAAGUCAGUUGUGAAAGUUUGCGGCUCAACCGUAAAAUUGCAGUUGAAACUGGCAGUCUUGAGUACAGUAGAGGUGGGCGGAAUUCGUGGUGUAGCGGUGAAAUGCUUAGAUAUCACGAAGAACUCCGAUUGCGAAGGCAGCUCACUAGACUGUCACUGACACUGAUGCUCGAAAGUGUGGGUAUCAAACAGGAUUAGAUACCCUGGUAGUCCACACAGUAAACGAUGAAUACUCGCUGUUUGCGAUAUACAGUAAGCGGCCAAGCGAAAGCAUUAAGUAUUCCACCUGGGGAGUACGCCGGCAACGGUGAAACUCAAAGGAAUUGACGGGGGCCCGCACAAGCGGAGGAACAUGUGGUUUAAUUCGAUGAUACGCGAGGAACCUUACCCGGGCUUAAAUUGCAACAGAAUAUAUUGGAAACAGUAUAGCCGUAAGGCUGUUGUGAAGGUGCUGCAUGGUUGUCGUCAGCUCGUGCCGUGAGGUGUCGGCUUAAGUGCCAUAACGAGCGCAACCCUUAUCUUUAGUUACUAACAGGUUAUGCUGAGGACUCUAGAGAGACUGCCGUCGUAAGAUGUGAGGAAGGUGGGGAUGACGUCAAAUCAGCACGGCCCUUACGUCCGGGGCUACACACGUGUUACAAUGGGGGGUACAGAAGGCAGCUACACGGCGACGUGAUGCUAAUCCCAAAAACCUCUCUCAGUUCGGAUCGAAGUCUGCAACCCGACUUCGUGAAGCUGGAUUCGCUAGUAAUCGCGCAUCAGCCAUGGCGCGGUGAAUACGUUCCCGGGCCUUGUACACACCGCCCGUCAAGCCAUGAAAGCCGGGGGUACCUGAAGUACGUAACCGCAAGGAGCGUCCUAGGGUAAAACUGGUAAUUGGGGCUAAGUCGUAACAAGGUAGCCGUACCGGAAGGUGCGGCUGGAACACCUCCUUUCU
This 1536-nucleotide ribosomal RNA is filed under the name Bacteroides ovatus. RNAcentral's name for it is "bacterial SSU rRNA". It matches the Rfam family "Bacterial small subunit ribosomal RNA". The record is from RNAcentral. Lineage: Bacteria; Pseudomonadati; Bacteroidota; Bacteroidia; Bacteroidales; Bacteroidaceae.